UGGGGGAAUUUUUGGGACAAUGGGGGGAAACCCUGAUCCAGCCAUCCCGCGUGUGCGAUGAAGGCCUUCGGGUUGUAAAGCACUUUUGGCAGGAAAGAAACGUCGCGGGUUAAUACCCCGCGAAACUGACGGUACCUGCAGAAUAAGCACCGGCUAACUACGUGCCAGCAGCCGCGGUAAUACGUAGGGUGCAAGCGUUAAUCGGAAUUACUGGGCGUAAAGCGUGCGCAGGCGGUUCGGAAAGAAAGAUGUGAAAUCCCAGAGCUUAACUUUGGAACUGCAUUUUUAACUACCGGGCUAGAGUGUGUCAGAGGGAGGUGGAAUUCCGCGUGUAGCAGUGAAAUGCGUAGAUAUGCGGAGGAACACCGAUGGCGAAGGCAGCCUCCUGGGAUAACACUGACGCUCAUGCACGAAAGCGUGGGGAGCAAACAGGAUUAGAUACCCUGGUAGUCCACGCCCUAAACGAUGUCAACUAGCUGUUGGGGGCCUUCGGGCCUUGGUAGCGCAGCUAACGCGUGAAGUUGACCGCCUGGGGAGUACGGUCGCAAGAUUAAAACUUAAAGGAAUUGACGGGGGU
Molecule: ribosomal RNA, 577 nt
Filed under: uncultured bacterium
Lineage: Bacteria
Description: partial 16S ribosomal RNA
Rfam family: Bacterial small subunit ribosomal RNA
Source: RNAcentral